GAUGAAGAACGCAGCGAAAUGCGAUAAGUAAUGUGAAUUGCAGAAUUCAGUGAAUCAUCGAAUCUUUGAACGCACAUUGCGCCCGCCAGCACUCUGGCGGGCAUGCCUGUCCGAGCGUCAUUUCAACCCUCGAGCACCGCUCGGCGUUGGGGGAGCGGCCCGCGCGCCGCCCCCCGAAAUGCAGUGGCGACCUCGCCGCGUUCCUCCCCUGCGCAGUAGCUCUCAAGAGAACCUCGCAUCGGCGGCGCGGCGGCGGUCACGCCGUGAAACACCCCCCUCAAGAGUUGACCUCGGAUCAGGUAGGGAUACCCGCUGAACUUAAGCAUAUCAAUAAGCGGAGGA
RNAcentral lists this unclassified non-coding RNA (342 nucleotides) under soil metagenome. Its description in RNAcentral is "partial contains 5.8S ribosomal RNA, internal transcribed spacer 2, and large subunit ribosomal RNA". The stretch from base 1 to 120 matches the Rfam family "5.8S ribosomal RNA", at positions 35 to 154 of the family's 154-position model. The record is from RNAcentral.